Molecule: ribosomal RNA, 450 nt
Filed under: uncultured Pacispora
Lineage: Eukaryota; Fungi; Glomeromycota; Glomeromycetes; Diversisporales; Pacisporaceae
Description: SSU rRNA
Rfam family: Eukaryotic small subunit ribosomal RNA
Source: RNAcentral
AGCAGCCGCGGUAAUUCCAGCUCCAAUAGCGUAUAUUAAAGUUGUUGCAGUUAAAAAGCUCGUAGUUGAAUUUCGGAAUUUUUUUAUCGGUUGAAUCAACAGGUUCGUACUGGUUUUAAGAAUUUCUACCUUCUGGAGAACCUUAAUGUCAUUAAUUUGGUGUUUUGGGAAACCAGGACUGUUACCUUGAAAAAUUAGAGUGUUUAAAGCAGGCUUAUGUCUGAAUAUAUUAGCAUGGAAUAAUGAAAUAGGACGGCAUGGUUCUAUUUUGUUGGUUUCUAGGAUCACCGUAAUGAUUAAUAGGGAUAGUUGGGGGCAUUAGUAUUCAAUUGUCAGAGGUGAAAUUCUUGGAUUUAUUGAAGACUAACUUCUGCGAAAGCAUUUGCCAAGGAUGUUUUCAUUAAUCAAGAACGAAAGUUAGGGGAUCGAAGACGAUCAGAUACCGUCGUA